Molecule: ribosomal RNA, 253 nt
Filed under: uncultured bacterium
Lineage: Bacteria
Description: partial 16S ribosomal RNA
Rfam family: Bacterial small subunit ribosomal RNA
Source: RNAcentral
UACGUAGGUGACAAGCGUUGUCCGGAUUUACUGGGCGUAAAGAGCGCGCAGGCGGUCGAUCAAGUCGAGUGUGAAAGCCCCCGGCUCAACUGGGGAGGGUCAUUCGAUACUGAUCGACUCGAAGGCAGGAGAGGGUAGUGGAAUUCCCGGUGUAGUGGUGAAAUGCGUAGAUAUCGGGAGGAAUACCAGUGGCGAAGGCGGCCGGCUGGGCCACGACCGACACUGAGGUGCGAAAGCGUGGGGAGCGAACCGG